AUUGAACGCUAGCGGGAUGCUUUACACAUGCAAGUCGAACGGAGUGGCGGAUGGGUGAGUCAUAUAUCGGAACGUGCCCAAUCGAGGGGGAUAACUACCCGAAAGAGUGGCUAAUACCGCAUAAUAUUGGAGCGGCCUUUAACGGAAUAGCUAGUUGGUGGGGAAAAGGCUCACAAAGGCAACGAUCCGUAGCGGGUUUGAGAGGACGACCAGCAACACUGGGACUGAGAAAAGGCCCAGACUCCUACGGGAGGCAGCAGUGGGAAAUUAUAGAGAGUGGGGGAAACCCUGAUCCAGACAUCACGCAUAUAUGAUGAAGGCCUUCGGGUUGUAAAGUACUUUUGGCAGAAAAGCGGUAUCUGCAGAAGAAGCAACGGCAAAAGACGUGCCAGCAGCCGCGGUAAUAC
Molecule: ribosomal RNA, 407 nt
Filed under: uncultured bacterium
Lineage: Bacteria
Description: partial 16S ribosomal RNA
Rfam family: Bacterial small subunit ribosomal RNA
Source: RNAcentral